CGGUUAAGCAUCUUCGGAUGUGUAUAAAGUGGCGAACGGCUGAGUAACACGUGGGCAACCUGCCCUUUGCACUGGGAUAGCCUCGGGAAACCGAGGUUAAUACCGGAUACUCCAUAUUUGUCGCAUGGCGAAUAUGGGAAAGCUCCGGCGGCAAAGGAUGGGCCCGCGGCCUGUUAGCUAGUUGGUGGGGUAGUGGCCUACCAAGGCAAUGAUGGGUAGCCGGGUUGAGAGACCGACCGGCCAGAUUGGGACUGAGACACGGCCCAGACUCCUACGGGAGGCAGCAGUGGGGAAUCUUGCACAAUGGGCGAAAGCCUGAUGCAGCGACGCCGCGUGCGGGAUGAAGGCCUUCGGGUUGUAAACCGCUUUCAGCAGGGACGAGGCCGCAAGGUGACGGUACCUGCAGAAGAAGCCCCGGCUAACUACGUGCCAGCAGCCGCGGUAAUACGUAGGGGGCAAGCGUUAUCCGGAUUCAUUGGGCGUAAAGCGCGCGUAGGCGGUCUGUUAGGUCAGGAGUUAAAUCUGGGGGCUCAACCCCUAUCCGCUCCUGAUACCGGCAGGCUUGAGUCUGGUAGGGGAAGAUGGAAUUCCAAGUGUAGCGGUGAAAUGCGCAGAUAUUUGGAAGAACACCGGUGGCGAAGGCGGUCUUCUGGGCCAUGACUGACGC
RNAcentral lists this ribosomal RNA (667 nucleotides) under uncultured bacterium. RNAcentral describes it as "bacterial SSU rRNA". It matches the Rfam family "Bacterial small subunit ribosomal RNA", at positions 67 to 746 of the family's 1533-position model. The record is from RNAcentral.